GGAGAGGUGGCCGAGUUGGCUGAAGGCGAUUGCCUGCUAAGCAAUUAAGGGGGAAAUCCUCCUUCGCGGGUUCGAAUCCCGCCCUCUCCGCCC
This 93-nucleotide transfer RNA is filed under the name Armatimonadetes bacterium CG07_land_8_20_14_0_80_40_9. RNAcentral's name for it is "tRNA-Ser". It matches the Rfam family "tRNA". Rfam says of the family: Transfer RNA (tRNA) molecules are approximately 80 nucleotides in length. Lineage: Bacteria; Bacillati; Armatimonadota. The record is from RNAcentral.